RNAcentral lists this transfer RNA (84 nucleotides) under Candidatus Woesearchaeota archaeon. RNAcentral's name for it is "tRNA-Ser". It matches the Rfam family "tRNA". Rfam says of the family: Transfer RNA (tRNA) molecules are approximately 80 nucleotides in length. Their secondary structure includes four short double-helical elements and three loops (D, anti-codon, and T loops). Further hydrogen bonds mediate the characteristic L-shaped molecular structure. tRNAs have two regions of fundamental functional importance: the anti-codon, which is responsible for specific mRNA codon recognition, and the 3' end, to which the tRNAs corresponding amino acid is attached (by aminoacyl-tRNA synthetases). tRNAs cope with the degeneracy of the genetic code in two manners: having more than one tRNA (with a specific anti-codon) for a particular amino acid; and 'wobble' base-pairing, i.e. permitting non-standard base-pairing at the 3rd anti-codon position. Lineage: Archaea; Nanobdellati; Candidatus Woesearchaeota. The record is from RNAcentral.
GCCGCCGUGGCACAAUCUGGUACUGCGCACGCUUGGAAAGCGUGUUCCCUAACGGGUUUCCCGGUUCAAAUCCGGGCGGCGGCG